This 301-nucleotide ribosomal RNA is filed under the name uncultured bacterium. RNAcentral describes it as "partial 16S ribosomal RNA". It matches the Rfam family "Bacterial small subunit ribosomal RNA", at positions 509 to 807 of the family's 1533-position model. The record is from RNAcentral.
CAGUCGCCACGGUAAUACGUAGGUGGCAAGCGUUGUCCGGAAUUAUUGGGCGUAAAGGGCUCGCAGGCGGUUUCUUAAGUCUGAUGUGAAGGCCCCCGGCUCAACCGGGGAGGGUCAUUGGAAACUGGGAAACUUGAGUGCAGAAGAGGAGAGUGGAAUUCCACGUGUAGCGGUGAAAUGCGUAGAGAUGUGGAGGAACACCAGUGGCGAAGGCGACUCUCUGGUCUGUAACUGACGCUGAGGAGCGAAAGCGUGGGGAGCGAACAGGAUUAGAUACCCCUGUAGUCCCUGUCUCUUAUAC